Molecule: long non-coding RNA, 182 nt
Organism: Gorilla gorilla gorilla (western lowland gorilla)
Lineage: Eukaryota; Metazoa; Chordata; Mammalia; Primates; Hominidae
Exons: 3
Source: RefSeq, a predicted model, not a curated record
UGAAUACAGAAGCAGAUAUUAGCCUCCAGCCUCCUGCUCAUCUGGACACUAGAGAGUUACAGGAACCUUGAUAAUGAAGAUCUCCACCAUGGUCAAGAACAGAGGAAAGACCUAAAUGUCAUCUCUCAGCACCCAAUCUAACCCAAACUCUACACUGCCACCUGAGUCAUCUAACACAUGGG